Molecule: transfer RNA, 88 nt
Filed under: Caudoviricetes sp.
Lineage: Duplodnaviria; Heunggongvirae; Uroviricota; Caudoviricetes
Description: tRNA-Ser
Rfam family: tRNA
About the family: Transfer RNA (tRNA) molecules are approximately 80 nucleotides in length. Their secondary structure includes four short double-helical elements and three loops (D, anti-codon, and T loops). Further hydrogen bonds mediate the characteristic L-shaped molecular structure. tRNAs have two regions of fundamental functional importance: the anti-codon, which is responsible for specific mRNA codon recognition, and the 3' end, to which the tRNAs corresponding amino acid is attached (by aminoacyl-tRNA synthetases). tRNAs cope with the degeneracy of the genetic code in two manners: having more than one tRNA (with a specific anti-codon) for a particular amino acid; and 'wobble' base-pairing, i.e. permitting non-standard base-pairing at the 3rd anti-codon position.
Source: RNAcentral
GGAGUAGUAAGCCUAAUUGGUAAGGCAACGGUUUGCUAAACCGUGAGUAGUCGGUAACGGCGUGCUGGUUCAAGUCCAGUCUACUCCG